AACGCUAGCUACAGGCUUAACACAUGCAAGUCGAGGGGCAGCAUCAUCAAAGCUUGCUUUGAUGGAUGGCGACCGGCGCACGGGUGAGUAACAUGUAUCCAACCUGCCGACAACACUGGGAUAGCCUUUCGAAAGAAAGAUUAAUACCGGAUGGCAUAGUUUUCCCGCGUGGGAUAAUUAUUAAAGAAUUUCGGUUGUCGAUGGGGAUGCGUUCCAUUAGGCAGUUGGCGGGGUAACGGCCCACCAAACCUACGAUGGAUAGGGGUUCUGAGAGGAAGGUCCCCCACAUUGGAACUGAGACACGGUCCAAACUCCUACGGGAGGCAGCAGUGAGGAAUAUUGGUCAAUGGACGAGAGUCUGAACCAGCCAAGUAGCGUGAAGGAUGACUGCCCUAUGGGUUGUAGACUUCUUUUAUACGGGAAUAAAGUUAGCCACGUGUGGCUUUUUGUAUGUACCGUAUGAAUAAGGACCGGCUAACUCCGUGCCAGCAGCCGCGGUAAUACGGAGGAUCCGAGCGUUAUCCGGAUUUAUUGGGUUUAAAGGGAGCGUAGGCGGGUUGUUAAGUCAGUUGUGAAAGUUUGCGGCUCAACCGUAAAAUUGCAGUUGAUACUGGCGACCUUGAGUGCAACAGAGGUAGGCGGAAUUCGUGGUGUAGCGGUGAAAUGCUUAGAUAUCACGAAGAACUCCGAUUG
This 693-nucleotide ribosomal RNA is filed under the name uncultured bacterium. RNAcentral's name for it is "bacterial SSU rRNA". It matches the Rfam family "Bacterial small subunit ribosomal RNA", at positions 32 to 715 of the family's 1533-position model. The record is from RNAcentral.